UCCAGACUCCUACGGGAGGCAGCAGUGGGGGAUAUUGCACAAUGGGGGAAACCCUGAUGCAGCGACGCCGCGUGAGUGAAGAAGUAUUUCGGUAUGUAAAGCUCUCUCAGCAGGGAAGAAAAAAGACGGUACCUGACUAAGAAGCCCCGGCUAACUACGUGCCAGCAGCCGCGGUAAUACGUAGGGGGCAAGCGUUAUCCGGAUUUACUGGGUGUAAAGGGAGCGUAGACGGCAAUACAAGUCGGAAGUGAAAUACCCGGGCUCAACCUGGGAACUGCUUUGGAAACUGUAUGGCUGGAGUGCUGGAGAGGUAAGCGGAAUUCCUAGUGUAGCGGUGAAAUGCGUAGAUAUUAGGAGGAACACCAGUGGCGAAGGCGGCUUACUGGACAGUAACUGACGUUGAGGCUCGAAAGCGUGGGGAGCAAACAGGAUUAGAUACCCCUGUAUA
RNAcentral lists this ribosomal RNA (448 nucleotides) under uncultured bacterium. Its description in RNAcentral is "bacterial SSU rRNA". It matches the Rfam family "Bacterial small subunit ribosomal RNA", at positions 330 to 794 of the family's 1533-position model. The record is from RNAcentral.